CACUUUCGAGUUUACAAUUUAAUAAAGCUAGCUUAGGAUGAUGCAAUCAGAGGGGGAAAAAAUAUGAUAAGAUAAUGUGUUACUUCCCAGAAGCACCUGGUUUCUUGGCUUGAUACAUUUCUCCCUCUCUCUGUGGAACAUGAAUUCGAGGUCAACAUUCAACAUGUCUUAGUCUCUGACUAUAACACCAGCCUACAUAGUCAAUUAGUCAUAUAAAAACCUUCCAGCCAUAGAUUGUUUUUGCUUUCUUGGCAAGAUAAUCACCCACUUAGCUACUAGUAGUUUUGUGUAUAUUGCCCAAGUUAGAACUUAGAAGCAGCCUAAACUCUUAAUGAGUUUCACCACCCCUAGUUCUGAUGAACUCCUGCAAAAUAGGUUUCCACUAAUGGAAUCAAAGGGAUUCCUUGAUGCUACCGAAGAAGAUGAAAUAACAAAGUUAACAGGCAAAACCAUGUUGAGCUCUGAAAGUUCUUGCGCACACUAUGGUGAUUUGGAUCCCAAAGACAACAAAACAAAGCCAAACAAAAGAAGAUCGAGGGCAUCGAAAAAGACUCCUAUGAUUCUCCUGAAUGCCAACACUACGAAUUUUCGAGCCUUGGUGCAACAGUUUACGGGCUGCCAGAGUGCUCCUUCUUCUUCAUUCAAAGGUCCAAUCAACUUGAACUUUGGAGGAGGAGGGAGUGAAGAAAAUGAUAUGGACGUAGCUGAUCAUCAAUCUAGUAUCUUUGGAUACAACAAUUUUGUUCAAAACAUUCAGGCUGAUGAUCAAGUGCGUGAUCAGCAGCAGCAGCAAUUAGAAGAUCACGAACGUCUGUUAUCUAGUGGGAGCUUUGAUGGAGAUGCUUCCCUUUCAACAUAUGGUAAACCUGAAGCUUAUGCAACCGCCUUGGAAAAUAUAGGUGCAGAGAAUGAAUCUGACAAGGCAUAUAAGAGAGAAAAGGCUUACUGCAGAAUAAACUUCACUCCAAUGAGUGCUGCUUUCUCUGUAUCAGCAACAAUCAGAAAAAUGGCUAAGAGCAUUUUCUUACCUCCUUCUUGGGCUCCGUCGACAAAAUUGCCCAUCUUUCAAUUGUCAUGUCGAGCAAAUUUGAAGCAGCUUAACUCAUCAAGAAAUAUUCAUGCUUGUCUGCUCAAGUAUCCUCUUGCAAGCAAGAUCAUGAUUAGAAACUUACCAUAUACUGCUAGUGAAAGUAGUUUGCUGAAGGAAUUCUCCAAGUAUGGCAAGAUAGCUGAAGUUAAGCUUGUCAAGGAUGAAAAGGCAAAUAGGUCAAAAGGACUUGCAUUUAUCCAAUAUACUUCCCAGGAAGAUGCUUUGCUUGCUGUGGAUAACAUGGAUCACAAGUAUUUUGAUGGCAGGGUGAUUUUUAUUGAUCUUGCAAAACCAAGGUCAAAUGAGUUUGGCGGAUAUCCAAGAACGUCAGGACCCCCUGAGGAGCAGCAUAUGCCUGCUGAAGAUGAAGACGAUGAAUGAGCAAAAUGCAGCAAUUAGGAAACCUUUGAGACUUCUUAAGCAUGGACUUGACUAGGCAAGUGGAAUUUUCUGCUGGUUCUGAUUCUACACAUUUUUCGGCUUCUCUCUUCCCAAUCUGUUGCACUUGAUUUUUCUGAGAGCUGCUGAGAAGAUGACUACAUCAGUGACAGCAUUAUCUGUACUUGAAAGCUCAAUGGCAGUGCCUGAAAAACCUCUCUCACCACUAUCACCACCAACUGUUUCAUGCUGCCCUAGAAAACAGCCUGAGAUGAAAGUCUCAUGGCCUCGCUCGACUAGAACUCCUUGGGUUGUGAAAUGGAUGAAGUAGCAGUUGUUAAUGCGGAUUCUUGCAGCAUCAAUUACAAAAAGUCCUCCACCUUGGUAGCUUGAGUCAAACAGUAUGUCCCUGAAAGUAACAUCUUCAUAGUAGAUGCCACUGUUUUGGUCUUCCCUGUCUGAAAGGCCAUGAAGAUGAUGAAUGGUAGUACUUUCUUUUUCAAGUUUUCUUGAGUUUGGGGACCAUAGCUCAAUCAGAUGCCUAUGUCCUGGAAAUGUGUUGGAUGCUCUUAAAGUGCCUCCUUGAACCUACUGGGCAAGAAAAGAGCUGGUCGAAAGUCAGGAACUUAGAAUGAACAAUCCCAAUCCUGUAUCAAGCAUUUUGAAACCCUCUAGUCAAAGUCUUCUUCAUAUUUCAGUCACGAA
This is an RNA transcript of Coffea arabica (coffee), 2173 nucleotides long. It is a transcript of the gene named small RNA-binding protein 11, chloroplastic-like, with no coding region annotated. NCBI's taxonomy places the organism in Eukaryota, Viridiplantae, Streptophyta, Magnoliopsida, Gentianales, Rubiaceae. The record is from RefSeq and is a predicted model, not a curated record.